This 68-nucleotide transfer RNA is filed under the name Danionella translucida. It matches the Rfam family "tRNA". From Rfam's summary of the family: Transfer RNA (tRNA) molecules are approximately 80 nucleotides in length. Their secondary structure includes four short double-helical elements and three loops (D, anti-codon, and T loops). The record is from Rfam by way of RNAcentral. RNAcentral also lists the same sequence under 1 other name. Lineage: Eukaryota; Metazoa; Chordata; Actinopteri; Cypriniformes; Danionidae.
GGUACAGCUCAGUGGUAGAGCAUUUGACUGCAGAUCAAGAGGUCCCCAGUUCAAAUCUGGGUGCACCA